Molecule: small RNA, 28 nt
Filed under: Bombyx mori (domestic silkworm)
Lineage: Eukaryota; Metazoa; Arthropoda; Insecta; Lepidoptera; Bombycidae
Description: piRNA piR-bmo-2128218
Source: RNAcentral
UGACUGUCGAUGUAUAAACCUAGAUUUU